GGGUUUGGCGGGUCUGAGAGGGGUGAACCCGCCCCCACUGGAACCUGAGACACGGUCCAGACUUCCUACNGGGAGGCAGNCAGUGCUGAAUCNUUCGCCAAUGCGGGAAACCGNNGACGGUGCGACGNCCGCGUGCAGGACGAAGGNCCUUCNGGGUUGUAAANCUGCUGUCAGUAUCUAGAAAACCAGCAGGGUUAAUANGCUCUGUUGCUGAUCGGAUUCAGAGGAAGCACUUGGCUAAACUGCGUGCCAGCAGCCGCGGGUAACACGGAGUGGUGCAAGCGGUUGUUCGGAAUCACUGGGCAUAAAGGGGUGCGUAGGCGGCCUUGUAAGUCAGUUGUGAAAUCCCACGGCUCAACCGUGGCAUUGCAAUUGAUACUGCAGGGCUCGAGGUCGAAAGAGGCAAGUGGAAUUCCAGGUGUAGCGGUGGAAUGCGUAGAUAUCUGGGAGAACGCCAAAGGCGAAGGCAGCUUGCUGGGUCGAAUCUGACGCUGAGGCACGAAAGCUAGGGGAGCGAACAGGAUUAGAUACCCUGGUAGUCCUAGCCGUAAACGAUGGACACUUGGUUUUGGGGGCCCUGAUGCCUUCGGAAUUGGAGUUAAUGCGUUAAGUGUCCCGCCUGGGGAGUAUGGUCGCAAGGCUAAAACUCAAAGGAAUUGACGGGGGCUCACACAAGCGGUGGAGCAUGUUGUUUAAUUCGAAGCAACGCGAAGAACCUUACCAGGGCUUGACCUGCAAGAAGUAGAACCCCGAAACGGGAACCACCGGUAUCCAAUCCGGAACUUGCACAGGUGCUGCAUGGCUGUCGUCAGCUCGUGUCGUGAGACGUUGGGUUAAGUCCCGUAACGAGCGAAAUCCUUGUCGUCUGUUGCUACCGGGUCAUGCCGGGC
Molecule: ribosomal RNA, 890 nt
Filed under: uncultured bacterium
Lineage: Bacteria
Description: bacterial SSU rRNA
Rfam family: Bacterial small subunit ribosomal RNA
Source: RNAcentral